This is a non-coding RNA of Vicia faba (fava bean), 318 nucleotides long. Lineage: Eukaryota; Viridiplantae; Streptophyta; Magnoliopsida; Fabales; Fabaceae. The record is from the annotation of a GenBank genome assembly.
AUGGCAAACCUAAGAAGACCAAAAGACAAAGACAGCAUGUUCAACGUUAAUGGUGGUCGUUGCAAGAAACAUCCCAAACAUGUACAAUCACCUGGCUCUUCUUGUUCUUCUCCAAUGCAUGAUAGAUCUAGUUUCUCUACUAUCUUGCUCUUUAACAAACAUGGUGGUGGACUUGUGAAGAGUAAGUCAAUGGCUGCUGUUGUUCCAAGAAGGAGAAACAAAGAUGCUAGGAAUCAAUAUAGUAAGAAAAAUGGGUUUUGGUUUAACUUGUUUCAUCCUAAUUAUAAGAACAAGAGAAUGGUGACUCUAGCUAGCUAA